AGGCUUAACACAUGCAAGUCGAGCCCCGCAAGGGGAGCGGCAGACGGGUGAGUAACGCGUGGGAAUCUACCCUUUACUACGGAAUAACGCAGGGAAACUUGUGCUAAUACCGUAUGUGUCCUUCGGGAGAAAGAUUUAUCGGUAAAGGAUGAGCCCGCGUUGGAUUAGCUAGUUGGUGGGGUAAAGGCCUACCAAGGCGACGAUCCAUAGCUGGUCUGAGAGGAUGAUCAGCCACAUUGGGACUGAGACACGGCCCAAACUCCUACGGGAGGCAGCAGUGGGGAAUAUUGGACAAUGGGCGCAAGCCUGAUCCAGCCAUGCCGCGUGAGUGAUGAAGGCCCUAGGGUUGUAAAGCUCUUUCACCGGAGAAGAUAAUGACGGUAUCCGGAGAAGAAGCCCCGGCUAACUUCGUGCCAGCAGCCGCGGUAAUACGAAGGGGGCUAGCGUUGUUCGGAAUUACUGGGCGUAAAGCGCACGUAGCGGAUC
This 486-nucleotide ribosomal RNA is filed under the name Rhizobium sp. PRF100. RNAcentral describes it as "bacterial SSU rRNA". It matches the Rfam family "Bacterial small subunit ribosomal RNA", at positions 44 to 580 of the family's 1533-position model. The record is from RNAcentral. Lineage: Bacteria; Pseudomonadati; Pseudomonadota; Alphaproteobacteria; Hyphomicrobiales; Rhizobiaceae.